Molecule: unclassified non-coding RNA, 348 nt
Filed under: Hevea brasiliensis (rubber tree)
Lineage: Eukaryota; Viridiplantae; Streptophyta; Magnoliopsida; Malpighiales; Euphorbiaceae
Source: RNAcentral
UCUCACUUCACAUUUACACCUUUAGAACCUUCAGUCUGAUCUUGCAGUUUUCUAAGAAUGAGAUCGUCAUUGGGCAAUAAAUGCAUUACCAAUUUGGCGGUCGUGGCAUCUGCAGUGAAUCCCUUACCAACCAUUUCUUCAAUAAGUUGUGAUGCUUUUGGUACAUCUCCAUGUCUGAGAAAUCCUUGAAUAAUUACAUUAUAACAGCAACCAUUCGGUAAACAUCCACACUCUUCCAUUCCUCUAAAGACUUUGUAUGCUUCAUCUAGUAAACCUUCAUUGCAAAGUCCUUUUAUUAUUAUACUAUAUGUAUAAACAUCAGGUUGUAAACCUUUUUCAAAAAGCCUA